CCUACGGGAGGCUGCAGUGGGGGAUCUUGCACAAUGGAGGAAACUCUGAUGCAGCGACGCCGCGUGAGGGAAGACGGUCUUCGGAUCGUAAACCCCUGUUGUUGGAGAAGAAAAUGCCGGUACCUAACUAGUCACGUUUGGCCAACUACGUGCCAGACGCCGCGGUCAUACGUAGGGGCCGAGGGCUGUGCGGAACUACUGGGUGCAAAGUGAUCCUAGGCGGGCGGGCAUGUUGAAUGUUAAAUCUACCGGCUUAACUGGUAGCUGCGUUCAACACUUCUUGUCUGGAGUGAAGUUGAGGCAGGCGUAAUUCCUAGUGUAGCGGUGAGAUGCGUGGAUAUUAGGAGGAACACCAGUGGCGAGGGCGGCCUGCUGGGCUGUAGCUGACGCUGAGGCUCGAAAGCGUGGGGAGCAGACAGGAUUAGAUACCCCGGUAGUC
Molecule: ribosomal RNA, 439 nt
Filed under: uncultured bacterium
Lineage: Bacteria
Description: partial 16S ribosomal RNA
Rfam family: Bacterial small subunit ribosomal RNA
Source: RNAcentral